CGGAUUGCUCUCCGGGUCCUCGUUGGCUGCCGGAAGGAUCGCUGCAGUCAGGUAAGGGAGGAAGUCGGUAUUGCCUUCUUUUAAUACGAUCUCAACGGUUUUCUCAUCAAUGAUAUUCACGCUGUCAAUCGCCAAAAAAGCCGAUACCAACGGGUCACCGUUACUGGUAUCGGCACAUCUGUCAAUGGAAUAUUUUACAUCUUCCGCCGUAACAGUUGUGCCGUCAUGAAAUUUUACCCCAUCGCGAAGCGUGAAGGUAUACACUUUUCCAUCUUCCGAAAUGGUAUGGCUCUCUGCUACAGCAUCGUUUAAAUUUCCUUCGCUGUCAGGCUUUACAAGACCUUCGAAUACAUUGAACAAUACCUCUUUGGUUCCCGCCGCCACUGCUUUGUGGGGGUCAAGACUGUCCACAUCCUGAGGAAUUCCAAUGGUAAUCUGAGAAGAUUCCUUUCCCGCCUUAUCACCCGAGCACGCGCCCAGUGCAAUAGUCAGUGCUGCGCACACCAAAGUCAAAAGAACUUUUUUUCCUGCUUUUGUCUUCAUGUGUUUCUCCUUUUUGAUUUGAUCUUUAUUCAGUUGUACUUUUUGUAGAACGGGCCGGCGAGUUACUGUGUGCAGCGAGGUUAAGUUGUUAAGCAACGGAGCCGAAGGGAUACCGAGUCUGAAAAGGGCGUAAAGUUGCAUGCAGUACACCCGAAACCGGGUGACCUAUCCAUGGACAGGAUGAAGCGACGGUAAGACGUCGUGGAGGUCCGAACCACACGUACGUGAAAAGUGCGGGGAUGAGCUGUGGAUAGCGGAGAAAUUCCAAUCGAACUCGGAGAUAGCUGGUUCUCCCCGAAAUAGCUUUAGGGCUAGCCUCGAUUUAGAUUACCGGGGGUAGAGCACUGAAUGGGCUAGGGGGCCACAAAGCUUACCGAACCCUAUCAAACUUCGAAUACCGGAUAAUUGAUGAUCGGGAGUCAGACAGUGUGAGAUAAGUUUCAUUGUCGAAAGGGAAACAGCCCAGAUCUACGACUAAGGUCCCAAAGUUCAAGUUAAGUGGAAAAGGAUGUGCAAUUGCGUAGACAACCAGGAUGUUGGCUUAGUAGCAGCCAUUCAUUCAAAGAGUGCGUAAUAGCUCACUGGUCGAGUGAUUGUGCGCCGAAAAUGUAACGGGGCUAAACUUGACACCGAAGUCUAGGCAGAAGGAAACUUCUGGGUAGGGGAGCAACGUGUACGGGCAGAAGCAGAAGCGGAAGCGACUGUGGACUGUACAGGAGAGAGAAUGCCGGCAUGAGUAGCGAGAGCAAAGUGAGAAUCUUUGCCGUCGAAAGCCUAAGGUUUCCUGAGGAAGGCUCGUCCUCUCAGGGUAAGUCGGGACCUAAGCCGAGGACAAUAGUCGUAGGCGAUGGACAAUCGGUUAAUAUUCCGAUACCGCCGAGCAACCGGAUGCAGUGACACAGAAGGAUAGGCAGAGCGUGGCGAUGGUAGACCACGUCCAAGCAGUGAGGCUGUUGUGUAGUGAAGUACGCACAACGGAAGGCUGGGCUGUGAUGGGGAACGAUUACGAUCGGUAAGCUGCUGAAUUCACGCUGGCGAGAAAAGCUGCUACGAAGCGAAGGCGCCCGUACCGCAAACCGACACAGGUAGGCGAGGAGAGAAUCCUAAGACGAGCGGGAGAACCCUUGUUAAGGAACUCGGCAAAAUGACUCCGUAACUUAGGGAGAAGGAGUGCCCAGGAAUGGGCCGCAGAGAAUAGACCCAAGCGACUGUUUACCAAAAACACAGGUCUGUGCGAAGUAGAGAUACGACGUAUACGGGCUGACACCUGCCCAGUGCCGGAAGGUUAAGGGGAAAUGUUAGGGCAACCGAAGCAUGGAACUUAAGCCCCGGUGAACGGCGGCCGUAACUAUAACGGUCCUAAGGUAGCGAAAUUCCUUGUCGGGUAAGUUCCGACCCGCACGAAAGGUGUAACGAUUUGGGCACUGUCUCAACGAGGGGCCCGGUGAAAUUGAAAUACCUGUGAAGAUGCAGGUUACCCGCGACUGGACAGAAAGACCCCAUGGAGCUUCACUGCAGCUUGAGAUUGAAUCCCGGUGACAUAUGCACAGGAUAGGUGGGAGGCGACGAAGUAAUGCCUUUGGGUGUUACAGAGCCGAUGUUGGGAUACCACCCUUAUGUUGCUGAGAUUCUAACACGGAGACUAACAACCUCGUGGACCAUCUCAGGCAGGCGGUUUGACUGGGGCGGUCGCCUCCUAAAAUGUAACGGAGGCGCCCAAAGGUUCCCUCAGGCCGGACAGAAACCGGCCGAAGAGUGCAAAGGCAGAAGGGAGCUUGACUGCGAGACAGACAAGUCGAGCAGAGACGAAAGUCGGGCUUAGUGAUCCGGUGGUACUGAGUGGAAAGGCCAUCGCUCAACGGAUAAAAGCUACCCUGGGGAUAACAGGCUAAUCUCUCCCAAGAGUUCAUAUCGACGGGGAGGUUUGGCACCUCGAUGUCGGCUCAUCACAUCCUGGAGCUGGAGUAGGUUCCAAGGGUUGGGCUGUUCGCCCAUUAAAGUGGUACGCGAGCUGGGUUCAAAACGUCGUGAGACAGUUUGGUUCAUAUCCAUCGCGGGCGCAAGAAGUUUGAGGGAGGCUGCUCCUAGUACGAGAGGACCGGAGUGGACGGAUCAACGGUGUACCAGUUGUCACGCCAGUGGCACGGCUGGAAAGCCGCAUCCGGAAAGGAUAAACGCUGAAAGCAUCUAAGCGUGAAGCCCGUCCCGAGAUGAGACUUCU
RNAcentral lists this ribosomal RNA (2764 nucleotides) under human gut metagenome. RNAcentral's name for it is "bacterial LSU rRNA". The stretch from base 405 to 2764 matches the Rfam family "Bacterial large subunit ribosomal RNA". The record is from RNAcentral.